ACGGAAGGCAGCAGUGAGGAAUAUUGGUCAAUGGACGCAGGUCUGAACCAGCCAAGUCGCGUGAGGGAUGGCGGUCCUAUGGAUUGUAAACCUCUUUUGUCGGGGAGUAACGUGCGGGACGUGUCCCGCAUUGAGAGUACCCGAAGAAAAAGCAUCGGCUAACUCCGUGCCAGCAGCCGCGGUAAUACGGAGGAUGCGAGCGUUAUCCGGAUUUAUUGGGUUUAAAGGGAGCGCAGGCGGCGCGUCGAGUCAGCGGUAAAAUGUCGGGGCUCAACCCCGGCCGGCCGUUGAAACUGCCGUGCUCGAGUUCGUGCGAGGAGAGCGGAAUGCGUGGUGUAGCGGUGAAAUGCAUAGAUAUCACGCAGAACGCCGAUUGCGAAGGCAGCCCUCCAGCACUGGACUGACGCUGAGGCUCGAAAGCGUGGUAUCGAACAGGAUUAGAUACCCUGGUA
RNAcentral lists this ribosomal RNA (452 nucleotides) under uncultured Porphyromonadaceae bacterium. Its description in RNAcentral is "partial 16S ribosomal RNA". It matches the Rfam family "Bacterial small subunit ribosomal RNA", at positions 341 to 792 of the family's 1533-position model. The record is from RNAcentral. Lineage: Bacteria; Pseudomonadati; Bacteroidota; Bacteroidia; Bacteroidales; Porphyromonadaceae.